Non-coding RNA from Danio rerio (zebrafish), 270 nucleotides. The record is from Ensembl. Lineage: Eukaryota; Metazoa; Chordata; Actinopteri; Cypriniformes; Danionidae.
AGUGCAGUCUCGCGGUCCGGUCUCCUGUUUGUCCAGUGACUCGAGACUCUGCGAAGCUGCACAGAUCAGACUGAAGGAUCCAAAGGCGUUACUUCUCCAGACUGAAGUUUUACGUGCGAUAUUCUUUCGACAGAUCUUAACCUGUUUCCACGGCGGUAAUGGUUGUGUUGUACCGUUACCAAUCUAAAAACAGGCAGAGUAAAACAGCGGCAGUCAGAUAUUGUCUGGCAGGAGGAGCGCGCCUUUCAGACACUUCGAAUUGCCACAGUU